AUUUUAAGGAGUGCAUUGAUCUAUAAGUCAAGAAAAUUAUAGAACAGAAGUAGUUCUGUUAUCAUGCGAGUGUUUCUGUGCAGGCCUGGCCAGCUCUGUAUGCUAAGCCCUUUACUAUUAUCUGUGGUGGCAAAUCCCAUUGCUUCAGAAUUUGGGUUACCACAUGCCUUUGCAACGAAGGCUUUCAUAAACAGAGGUGGAUAAACGAUUAUAAGAUGACGUAGCCGGUAAUUACAAAGGGGUAAUAGCUAACGUUUAAGAGGACAUUAUUAUAAUUGACGAAAAGCAUUUCUUGUGUUUUAGUUUAUUUCCACUCUGCCUUUGAUGUGAGCUGGCCUUAGGGAUUCCUUGAGGAUUGACAGACAGGAUGGGAAUUAAUAAAAUAUGUACAACAAAAUUGUUUAAACAAUUGAAACCCUUCGAUUAAAAAUACGUUUAAAGCUUUUCAGAAA
Non-coding RNA from Podarcis lilfordi (Lilford's wall lizard), 452 nucleotides. The record is from the annotation of a GenBank genome assembly. Lineage: Eukaryota; Metazoa; Chordata; Lepidosauria; Squamata; Lacertidae.